CGAAGAACCUUACCAAGGCUUGACAUGGGCCGGUCCGGGCUGGAAACAGUCCUUCCCCUUUUGGGGCCGGUUCACAGGUGGUGCAUGGUUGUCGUCAGCUCGUGUCGUGAGAUGUUGGGUUAAGUCCCGCAACGAGCGCAACCCUCGUUCCAUGUUGCCAGCACGUGAUGGUGGGGACUCAUGGGAGACUGCCGGGGUCAACUCGGAGGAAGGUGGGGACGACGUCAAAUCAUCAUGCCCCUUAUGUCUUGGGCUUCACGCAUGCUACAACGGCCGGUACAAAGGGUUGCGAUACUGCGAGGUGGAGCUAAUCCCAAAAAGCCGGUCUCAGUUCGGAUUGGGGUCUGCAACUCGACCCCAUGAAGUCGGAGUCGCUAGUAAUCGCAGAUCAGCAACGCUGCGGUGAAUACGUUCCCGGGUCUUGUACACACCGA
RNAcentral lists this ribosomal RNA (434 nucleotides) under uncultured bacterium. Its description in RNAcentral is "bacterial SSU rRNA". It matches the Rfam family "Bacterial small subunit ribosomal RNA", at positions 962 to 1393 of the family's 1533-position model. The record is from RNAcentral.